RNAcentral lists this ribosomal RNA (933 nucleotides) under uncultured bacterium. RNAcentral describes it as "bacterial SSU rRNA". It matches the Rfam family "Bacterial small subunit ribosomal RNA", at positions 8 to 930 of the family's 1533-position model. The record is from RNAcentral.
AGAGUUUGAUCCUGCGCUCAGGAUGAACGCUAGCUACAGGCUUAACACAUGCAAGUCGAGGGGAAACGAUAUUGGAAGCUUGCUUCCGAUAGGCGUCGACCGGCGCACGGGUGAGUAACGCGUAUCCAACCUGCCCAUCACUUGGGAAUAACCUUGCGAAAGUAAGACUAAUGCCCAAUGAUAUUUAUAGAAGGCAUCGGAAAUGAAUUAAAGAUUUAUCGGUGAUGGAUGGGGAUGCGUCUGAUUAGCUUGUUGGCGGGGUAACGGCCCACCAAGGCGACGAUCAGUAGGGGUUCUGAGAGGAAGGUCCCCCACAUUGGAACUGAGACACGGUCCAAACUCCUACGGGAGGCAGCAGUGAGGAAUAUUGGUCAAUGGGCGAGAGCCUGAACCAGCCAAGUAGCGUGCAGGAUGACGGCCCUAUGGGUUGUAAACUGCUUUUAUAAGGGAAUAAAGUGAGUCUCGUGAGACUUUUUGCAUGUACCUUAUGAAUAAGGACCGGCUAAUUCCGUGCCAGCAGCCGCGGUAAUACGGAAGGUCCGGGCGUUAUCCGGAUUUAUUGGGUUUAAAGGGAGCGUAGGCCGGAGAUUAAGCGUGUUGUGAAAUGUAGACGCUCAACGUCUGCACUGCGGCGCGAACUGGUUUCCUUGAGUACGCACAAAGUGGGCGGAAUUCGUGGUGUAGCGGUGAAAUGCUUAGAUAUCACGAAGAACUCCGAUUGCGAAGGCAGCUCACUGGAGCGCAACUGACGCUGAAGCUCGAAAGUGCGGGUAUCGAACAGGAUUAGAUACCCUGGUAGUCCGCACGGUAAACGAUGGAUGCCCGCUGUUGGUCUGAAUAGGUCAGCGGCCAAGCGAAAGCAUUAAGCAUCCCACCUGGGGAGUACGCCGGCAACGGUGAAACUCAAAGGACAUUGACGGAAGGGCGAAUCGC